Long non-coding RNA from Lolium perenne, 517 nucleotides. RefSeq lists it as uncharacterized. The record is from RefSeq and is a predicted model, not a curated record. NCBI's taxonomy places the organism in Eukaryota, Viridiplantae, Streptophyta, Magnoliopsida, Poales, Poaceae.
GCAGCCCACUCCCUCCUCACUUGCUCUCAUUUCCCACUCUCCACUCCUCUCCACUCCUCUCCUUUGCCUCAUUUCUUUUCACUCCCUACUAUUUCCUCCACUCCCUCACACUCUCCUCCUCCACUUCCCCACGAAAAUGGUGCUCCCCUUGCUCCCAUGGCCGGCCAUAGCCAUGGCAAGCCACCAAGAUGAAGCUCUCCCCCUCCCUCAAGCUCAUCCUCACCAUGAGAGCCUCCCUCUCCUUCUUCUCCCUAACCUUAGAUGGUUUAAUCUCCUCUUCUUCUCCCUCCAUUGCUAAGAUUGGAUCUUGAUGCAGGUGCAUGUUGGUCCAAGCAUGGAGAAGGUUGAGCUAUCCUCAGAUCUGAAGUUCUUGAGCAAAAUCCAAAUCGAGUGGUUCAAAGUUCUGCAGAUAAGUACUGAAAAUAUCUACAACUUGGCGUUGGUCUCAUCCUCAAAUUCGUUACGGAUUUUGCAUGAUAAAUAAAGUUCUGCAAACAUGCAGAAUCAUUGUUUGUUA